AGGAUGAACGCUAGCGGCAGGCCUAAUACAUGCAAGUCGGACGGGAUUCGGGAGCUUGCUUCCGAUGAGAGUGGCGCACGGGUGCGUAACACGUAUGUAACCUACCUUUAUCAGGGGGAUAGCCUCUCGAAAGAGAGAUUAAGCCCGCAUAAUAUUAUGGCACAGCAUUGUGAGAUAAUCAAAUAUUUAUAGGAUAGAGAUGGGCAUGCGGAACAUUAGCUAGUUGGUAAGGUAAUGGCUUACCAAGGCUACGAUGUUUAGGGGAUCUGAGAGGAUGACCCCCCACACUGGUACUGAGACACGGACCAGACUCCUACGGGAGCAGCAGUAAGGAAUAUUGGUCAAUGGGCGCAAGCCUGAACCAGCCAUGCCGCGUGCAGGAAGACGGCCCUACGGGUUGUAAACUGCUUUUGUGCCAGAAUAAACCUCAGUAUGUAUACUGAGCUGAAUGUAUGGUAAGAAUAAGGAUCGGCUAACUCCGG
Molecule: ribosomal RNA, 482 nt
Filed under: uncultured bacterium
Lineage: Bacteria
Description: SSU rRNA
Rfam family: Bacterial small subunit ribosomal RNA
Source: RNAcentral